Molecule: long non-coding RNA, 4044 nt
Organism: Dama dama (fallow deer)
Lineage: Eukaryota; Metazoa; Chordata; Mammalia; Artiodactyla; Cervidae
Exons: 4
Source: RefSeq, a predicted model, not a curated record
GGCUCAGCUCCUGACCUUACGGGGCAAAGCCUGGUGGGGAGACACACGGCAAACAGGAAAUAGAAACACAAACCGUAUACCACGGCGGUGGCCCAGGCCCCGUGCAGUCUCUGCCGCCGUCGAGGGGAGGAGCAGGGAACACGGGCAGGAGGUCGAGCCUACUUCCCAGAAGAGGCCCCGCAGCUCUUCCCGAGCAAACAGAAUGCAGAGAAGCCAGCGUUCCCAAGUUCAAGGCCAAGGCAGGGCGGAGGUCCCCGCAGAGGGAACUUCCUCAGGCCAAGGACCAGCAAAAUCUGGACGAAUCUGCCUGGAAGCUGAUUUCCCUGGUUUCUGUCCCAGAGGUCAGCUCUGUAUCCCCACUCUGAUCCCAAUACAACAAAACGGGAUAGAUGAAUUCCCCUGAUGUUCUAGGCGCAGGCAAGUGUUUUCCACGGUAUGAACCUCUCUUUCCCACAGACUUGAUCUCACAAACUUCCCCCUUUCAGAGACAAGUGGUUUAUGAAGCUAAUUCAUACUAAUAUGUGAACAACUGCCUGCUGACUUUCACCUGCCCUGUGUAUUUGACUAUGAACUCCUGGAGCACAGAGACUGUUUUAUUCCUCUUCAUGGUUGCAGUGCCAAGUACAAGGCUUGGUACAGAGUUGGUGUUGUGUGGAUAAUCAUAAAGAAGACAGGAAUAAUAAAUCAUAACAGCCAACAAUUACUAAAUGUUUUCUAAAUGCCACACAAUCAGGAAGUCCCCAAAUCCCAAUCAGAGUGAUUCGGGAGAGGACCGGAAGAUGUCAAUGGAUGUGGUUUUCCUUCCUACCUUCUCCUGCUCCCACCUGUCUAGUGAAAAUAUAGGAGCCCCUGGGAUGCCCAGCUUCAGGGCGGGCCUGGAGAAGACUCAGGGAAGCCAAGCCUUUGCUGGAGGGCAGGGAGCCUCACUUUGGGAUCUCUUGAAGCCCCUAUUUUUCAGAGGUCCCCUGUUUGCCCUUCUCAUGGCUCACGGCUCCUCAGCGAGCGGGCUUACUCUGCACAGGUGUUCGUCUCUCCCAUCAGACGGCGCAUUCCACAAGACCAGGAUCUGUAGUUCUGCAGGGGGUCCCCAGGCAGGAACACAGGGCCUGCUGCUAUUUGUUGGGAGCUGGCCCUGAAGCCCAGUGGUCCCUCCCAAAUCCAGCCCUCUCUGCAGCCUCAAAGCUGGGAGGAAGAUCAUAGCCAGGAUGGCCUUCGCCUAGACUUCUCGUUGAAAGCGAAGCCCUCAGAGAAGAGACACAGCUGCAGGACACGUGUACCUGCAGAGACUGCCACCAGCCACUCGCCACAGCCUCCAUGCUCAUCUCCAUCACCCGGGUCCUGGCUCCCCUCCUCCAGGAAGCCCUCCCUGGUGAGCCCCACCCACAUGCCCUGUUAUACUGCUCGCUUGGGUUCCAGGAAGCUCGGGGCGAUCACAGCUCUGGGGAGAAGACCAGAGAGCAAGACUCAGGCAUCUCUAGAGUUCAGAACUGGACUUUCAGUUCCAGAUCAUGGUUUCUGUCCUCUUCUUCCCUCUUCUUUUUACGAAGAGACUCUCUCAGUCAUCCUUGCUUUUCUUUUUCUCCCUUCUUGUCUCUUCUUGCCUUAUUCCCUUCUUCCUUCCAUCUCCCCCUCAUUUUCUUCCUUCACUCCAGCACUGUUUCACGGAAGACUUGAGGCCACUUUUGCCUUCAGCCCACCUCCAGACCGCUGGGCGUUCAGACCGGCCCGAGGUCUGCUCACUGGGUUGCGUAGCACAGCGCCAGCCUAGGGUGCUGUGGGCCUUCCUCUGGGCUGAGUGUCGGGGCAGGGUGGCCUCGCCGAUACACCCAGUAGCCCCACCCUCAUCAGCCACCCUGCUGGGCCAGCACUGGAAGCAAGACACCGCCCCCCCCACCUCCCGCCACACACACACACAACUUCCUCGCUGCAAGCACAGGAAGGAGUCCGGGGGCCGAGGACAGAGCCCUGGAGUAGGCGUCUCAAGACUGCAGUCCCUGAGUGCGUGGCCCCAGCGGUAUCCCCAGGCACAGCUUGCAUCCAGCAAAUGCUUGUUGAGUGACUGAAUGAAAGCCGCAGACUGAAGUCCUGGCUGGCUGCCUCAUUUCAGGGACACCCCUUCACCUCUCUGAGCCUCAGGACCCUUGGUUAAAAUGAGGAGGAAUUGCCCAACUCUGUCCACCCCCUCGAGGCAGCUGGGAGGAGCAGGUGUGAUGGGGCCUCCAGCAGUAAAGCCCAGGCUGGCAGGCUGUGUGGGUGAUGGUGGCCUGUGCGGGGCCCCUUCUUUGGGGCUGGAAGGGGCUCGAAUGCUCUGGGCUGAGCGAUCCUGAGGAAGUGAUCUGAGGAGCAUGAGAGAACUUAAAGGUUCUGCGAGGGGGCCCCGCCUUCCUCCCCGGCGGAAUCCUAGCAGGGUCUGCCCACCAUGCCCCAGCCAUUCUUCAGCACCAAGCCUCCCUCUGCCCCGGCCCGCCCAGCGCAGGCAGCCCAGUGCCACCAGGCGGGUCCUUAUGAACUGGGCUUUCAAGGGGAGCUGGUCUAAGGAGAGACUGAGCCAGCAGCUUCCGGGGUGGGCAGGGGCUGCCUGGUGCCUCCGCCCGGGACUCAGAGCCGCUCAGCUCUGCCGUUUGCCAGCUGUAUGGCCUUGGACCAGUCGCUUCACCUCUCUGAGCCGCCCCUGGCUCAUUUCCCGCGUGGCAAGUACCCUUGCCUUGGCAGCUGAGUCAUGAGAGUCCUCAGAAGAGGAAGGGGAACCUGGCAGGCAGAGGCGCUGGGUGAUGGUGGGCGUCUGCUUGGCUCUGGGGGAGCCCAUCCACGCGCCACUCCCCCUACCCCCACCCCCCGCCGCUCUUCCGGCCCAGUUCAGCCAGAUGGUGGGAGCGGGGAAAUGCCGCGGAGCUGCAGCUCCUGGUCUAUUUUGAGAAGCCUCCUGUUUCCUCUGCUGCCUGGGGCCAUGUGGUGACUGCAGGUCUCUGCUCCCGGGAGGGGCUCGGAGCCGGACCUUGUCCUUCCUCGGUGCCUCACACCCAGCCCUCUCCUCCCACGUGGCCUGAACCCCACCGUCCUGACUCCCAGCUCAGGCAGCACAGCUUCAGCCGGGAGGGGCAGAGGUCAGGUGCCCAAAGAGGGCUUUGCGGUGGGGGCUGGUCACUUGUUGGCAAUAUGGAGAAAGUGGGGAGCUGGGGUUGGCCCCCCCCCUCCAUUGUCCGGGCUCAGCCCCUGCCUGCCCAGGCCCCUGCUUCUGCAAGCCUGCACCCCCUCCCCCACCAUGGCCGUCAGCAUCCUCGGGUCCCCAGCAGCAGUCAUCACUGCUGGGGUUGAGCGCUGGGUGGAGUCAUCUGUAUUCCCAUAUGCGGCUUCCUCCUGAGUGACCUCAGAGGCCCGCAGAGAAACACAGCCCCCCAGAACGCUGACCUGGCCAGGAGGCCGGACAGUCCCCUGGCUUGCUGCCUGGCUGGUCUUAAUUGCCCCACUCACCCCGUCAGAAACCUGGGAGCCGCCCUUGCCUCCUCUCCUGCCCCUCCUCCUCCCAGCACAGAGCUCUGACCCUGAUGUGCCACAUCCCUCAUUUACUAGAUCUGUGACCUUUCAUCUCUCCGUGCCCCGAUUUAUUCAUCUGUGAAAAGGAGCUAAGGAGAUCCCCCUAUUCAUGGGCCUGCAGGGAAGAGAUAUUGAGUUAAUACUGGUGAAGUGCUUAGGACAGGUCUGGACACUUAAUAAUUGUAGCUCCUAUUCCGUUCAGUUCAGUUCAGUAGCUCAGUCGUGUCCAACAGACUCUUUGUGACCCCAUGGACUGCAGCAUACCAGGCUUCCCUGUCCAUCACCAACUCCCAGAGCUUGCUCAAACUCAUGUCCGUUGAGUCGGUGACGCCAUCCAACAAUCUCAUCUUAUUAUCCUCAAUAAAUUGCAGCUCCUAUUACCUGAUUGGUCCACAAAGUCUGCCCACUCCAUCUCUUCUACAUCACUUCCGUCUCCUCUACUGCGGUGCUGGUCCAACCUCUCCUUGAGGCGCUGCCAAGGCUUCUUGCUGGCUUUGCUGCCCCUGUUCU